UGCAGCCGAGCGGUAUGAUUCUUUCGGGAAUCAGAGAGCGGCGUACGGGUGCGGAACACGUGUGCAACCUGCCUUUAUCUGGGGGAUAGCCUUUCGAAAGGAAGAUUAAUACCCCAUAAUAUAUUAAGUGGCAUCACUUGAUAUUGAAAACUCCGGUGGAUAGAGAUGGGCACGCGCAAGAUUAGAUAGUUGGUGAGGUAACGGCUCACCAAGUCAGUGAUCUUUAGGGGGCCUGAGAGGGUGAUCCCCCACACUGGUACUGAGACACGGACCAGACUCCUACGGGAGGCAGCAGUGAGGAAUAUUGGACAAUGGGUGAGAGCCUGAUCCAGCCAUCCCGCGUGAAGGACGACGGCCCUAUGGGUUGUAAACUUCUUUUGUAUAGGGAUAAACCUUUCCACGUGUGGAAAGCUGAAGGUACUAUACGAAUAAGCACCGGCUAACUCCGUGCCAGCAGCCGCGGUAAUACGGAGGGUGCAAGCGUUAUCCGGAUUUAUUGGGUUUAAAGGGUCCGUAGGCGGAUGUGUAAGUCAGUGGUGAAAUCUUUCGGCUUAACCGGAAAACUGCCAUUGAUACUGCAUGUCUUGAGUAAGGUAGAAGUGGCUGGAAUAAGUAGUGUAGCGGUGAAAUGCAUAGAUAUUACUUAGAACACCAAUUGCGAAGGCAGGUCACUAUGUCUUAACUGACGCUGAUGGACGAAAGCGUGGGGAGCGAACAGG
This 719-nucleotide ribosomal RNA is filed under the name Chryseobacterium daeguense. Its description in RNAcentral is "bacterial SSU rRNA". It matches the Rfam family "Bacterial small subunit ribosomal RNA", at positions 56 to 776 of the family's 1533-position model. The record is from RNAcentral. Lineage: Bacteria; Pseudomonadati; Bacteroidota; Flavobacteriia; Flavobacteriales; Weeksellaceae.